UACGAAGGGGGCGAGCGUUGUUCGGAUUUACUGGGCGUAAAGGGCGCGCAGGCGGCUCAUUUUGUCAGGCGUGAAAGCCGCGGGCUUAACCUGGGAACUGCGUUUGAUACGGAUGGGCUAGAGUUCGGGAGAGGAGAGUGGAAUUCCCAGUGUAGAGGUGAAAUUCGUAGAUAUUGGGAAGAACACCGGUGGCGAAGGCGGCUCUCUGGACCGAGACUGACGCUGAGGCGCGAAAGCGUGGGGAGCAAACAGG
This 253-nucleotide ribosomal RNA is filed under the name uncultured bacterium. RNAcentral describes it as "partial 16S ribosomal RNA". It matches the Rfam family "Bacterial small subunit ribosomal RNA", at positions 524 to 776 of the family's 1533-position model. The record is from RNAcentral.